This 238-nucleotide ribosomal RNA is filed under the name uncultured bacterium. RNAcentral's name for it is "partial 16S ribosomal RNA". It matches the Rfam family "Bacterial small subunit ribosomal RNA", at positions 96 to 334 of the family's 1533-position model. The record is from RNAcentral.
CGGCGGACGGGUGGGUAACGCGUGGGUAACCUGCCUCAUACAGGGGGAUAACAGUUGGAAACGGCUGCUAAUACCGCAUAAGCGCACAGUACCGCAUGGUACCGUGUGAAAAACUCCGGUGGUAUGAGAUGGACCCGCGUCUGAUUAGCUAGUUGGUGGGGUAACGGCCUACCAAGGCGACGAUCAGUAGCCGACCUGAGAGGGUGACCGGCCACAUUGGGACUGAGACACGGCCCAA